AGCUUUGGGCAGUGGCAAUAUUGUAGCUUAUGAGGUUAAUCUGUGGCACAAUUAUUGCUUAUUCAAAACUUUCCCCAAUACUCAGCCUUGAUGACUUGAAAUAUCAUCAGCUAUGGUGAUUUUUGAUUUGGUCUCUAUGGAGG
Syngnathus acus (greater pipefish) is the source of this 143-nucleotide small nuclear RNA. RefSeq annotates it as U4 spliceosomal RNA. The record is from RefSeq and is a predicted model, not a curated record. The transcript has a single exon. NCBI's taxonomy places the organism in Eukaryota, Metazoa, Chordata, Actinopteri, Syngnathiformes, Syngnathidae.